This 366-nucleotide unclassified non-coding RNA is filed under the name uncultured bacterium. RNAcentral's name for it is "contains 16S-23S intergenic spacer region". The record is from RNAcentral.
UCUCCCGUGAGGGAGCAGUCUCGCCUGGCCAUAUAGGCAACAGGCAACGGGGGUUGCGUUCGUUACCCCACUGAAGGGAACAGUUCAAACCACGAACUGACGACGACCAUGCAUCACCUGUGCAGCACCCUCGAAGGCUCUCCGACUUUCAUCAGAGAUGCAGCUGCAUUUCUAACCUUGGUAAGGUUCUUCGUUUGCUUACGAAUUGAGCCACAUAAUCCACUGCUUGUGCGAGUCCCCGUCUAUUCCUUUGAGUUUUAAUCUUGCGAUCGUACUACCCAGGCGGCUCGCUUACCGCGUUAGCUUAGUCUCACAGAGGGUCGAUACUCCGUAAAACGAGCGAGCAACGUUGAGGGCCAGGACUAC